Molecule: long non-coding RNA, 9512 nt
Organism: Numida meleagris (helmeted guineafowl)
Lineage: Eukaryota; Metazoa; Chordata; Aves; Galliformes; Numididae
Exons: 3
Source: RefSeq, a predicted model, not a curated record
UCAAUGAAGGAACAAGCUCUGGUGACCUUAUUGAGGACACUUGCCUGAGUUACAUUAUAAGAUUUUGAGCAGUAAAACUUGAGCUUGCUCACCAUUAACCUGCAAAGUCUUUGUUAACUCCUGCGCCAUAAAAAAUUCUCACAAAAAAAAAAAAAACUUUGUGCAAGAUAGACUCACUUCGGUUUACCUCUCUACCUUUUCUCAUAUGGCAACUUUAAUAUUUGCAUCUCUUUUCACAGUGAGAGACAAAGAAUACUUCUGUCAGUAAUUCUUGGGGGAAUAUAAAAAAAAUGAAGACAAAAGACAGAAAUCAACUUUAAGCAGUAAUUACGUCCACAAUAUAACAGCUAAUUAAAGUUGUGUCCAAAGUGCUGCCAGGGUUCCAGCUGCUGGGAGCAGUGUGACAUUAAGUGCUACCAGCUGUGGCCAAUUACAGGCCCUCCAACUAGGAAAGAAAAGGAGUAAUUAGAGCAGUUGGGUAAAAUGUAUCUGGUGUGGUGUUGCUGCUUUGUGCCUACUGCUGUAACACAUAGGAAGAAUCACCUGGGUUGCUUGUGAUCACCGUCCUGCUACACAGUUGGUACUGACAUUGUGCUCCAGAGGAUGCACUUCAGGAUUCUUCAGGGGCCUUAUUAUUUAGGCAUAUUUCAAAUCAGGUCCUAAAGAAACUAGCAAAUGGAAGACCAUGAGUUUUCAGCCCUGCAGAUGCGAACCUGCAACCCUCACUCUGGGUGAGAUCUCUUCCCUAGGUUUGUUUCUCAGUCACAGUAAGUGGAGAUCUGAUGUCCUAGCCUCACUGGCUGAUUUUGGGCUUUUGGGGUUAAGGUGAAAUCUGCUGAAGGCAGUAGAUGUCUUUACAGCGUGCUUAACACACCCAGCAUUGAAGUAUUGCUUUCCUUCUGAAUUGCCUCCUGCAUGCAACGUCUGCCACCUGCUACAUCCUUGUUCAUGCAGAGGUAGAUUUAUUUUUAUUCCUGUUACAGCAGUCUCUGGUAGGCAGCACCCCCAGUGCUGGCACUGCCUAUUAAUCGCCAUGUUUCCCAUCUGGUGCUGUACAGUCUGAAUCUCUUUAGCCAAGUAUACGCUAAGUUAUGGUCAGAUGUAAGAAUUAGCUGGGGCCAGUGGUCCAGAGCUGGUGUUGAGGACAGGUUUAGUGCAGGAUAAACUGCCAUUGCCACAUCACUCAGACUGCCCAGCUGCAGCUGCUGUUGCUUAGCUACAAAACUCAGUCCAAUCCAUAGCAGAGCUGGCACUGAAGCAUUUCAAAUAUGACAAGACCCCAAGGAUGCUCAUCGAUGUAUGUGCAGGAAUAUUACAGGUCCUGUAUGCUGAGAUUUUAGUGACUGUGACUGUUAGCUUACAUGGUGCUGGUUAGAGGGGACUGCAUUGUUGCUAGCUCAGUUUUUAGUGUAGCUGGGGUAUUUGCAUUCUGUGGCCAGAGACACUGAUUUUAAGGAGUGUGUGUGUCUAGGAGGGGAAUUACUGAACAAAGGUCCUUGAAAAGGGGGAAAUGAAAUAAGAGAGUUCUUUGGCAGCUCCUGCAAGAAAAGGCCCUAAUGUUCUCUAUGGACAUCUCCACUCCUCCUAUAAAUUCUUUAUAUGAAUCAUUAAUUAGUGGAAGCACGUUCCCAUAGCUCAAGGGCAGAGCAGUUAAAAAGCAGAAAGCUGCAAGAUUAAAUGUGAAGUUUCUUUUUAAGAUGCCUUUUACGUUUUGGAGACUUUGAGGAAAAUUAGCCAUGCAACCCCUCCAUUUACUUUGUUGCCAAAAUACAACUCCUCUGUAGGAGGAUUGAUUCCCAGAGUUAAACCCUGGUUACUAGAGCUGGGCUACAUCAUGUGUUAGCAACAUGAACUGCACAACUGCCCAUACGCGACGUGUGUGUAUCGAUGCAUCUGUCUGCAACAUUGACGCCUUUCAGCUUCCCUCUGCUGGUUUGCACUGGUGCCUUGCUUUAUAUCUCUACAAACUGUGACUGCGUUUUUGCAGUGUCAUGAAAACAAAUGACUUUGACUUCCCUAGAUAUGUUUUUGGUUUCCAAAGCAGCUACACGUGAAGGACAAGAGCACUGUGCUUCGAGCAAUACUAAUUAAUAGUCUGAAGGUGUGUUCUCAUUUUGACGGUUGAAUUUAAUCACAGUUCAUCUGAAUGCAGAAGAGUUCUCUGAAACUCCAGCAGAAUCUGGUAGGACUGUGAACAUGAGGACUUAAAUGAUAAUCAAGAUUUUUGGAAGGGAUGCGAUUUGUCAUUUUCCAGGGCAUAAGCCAGCCUCUCAGUAGGAAAGGGUUUCAUGAAACUUUCACUGUGGAAAAUUUUUUAGUCAUUAUGGCAUUGUGCAGUUCUCACAUACCUGCCUGUAGUGCCAGUGAACAGCACCAAAAGAGGAGAGUGCUGACUGCAUUUACCUUGAGCUUACCCCUCGCAUUUUCUGAGCUUAAUCAUGUCCUUUUGGACACUAUGACCUCCUGUUAUAUCUCAAACACACUUGCUGACUUCUGCCAUAGCUUGCUCUCAAGGUGGAUGAGGGGAGAUACUGCACAGAUGAGAAUGAAGCAGAGCUGUGCUCAGACACUUCUGCAUCUCAUUUAUGGAAAAAAAAAAAAAAGAGAGAGAGAGAGACAGGACAGUGCCAUUCUUUUGGCAUCAGCAGAAUUAUCCCAGAGAAAUGAGAACAGACUUGGGUCUGCUAUCUUUCAGUGCUAGCGUAACGAAAAGUAACAGUCUUAUAAAAAUGAACAGCUGUAUUUCAAGGCUCCCUCAUGCUGCCACCGGGAGUGCAAAGGCCACCUGCCUGCACUCACACUUCCCCUCUGUGGUGACUGUGGUGGUGGCUAGUAUGGAAAGGUAGUCUGUGGAGAGCAUUUCUCUAGGUUCAGCUGUCUCCAGGAUGAGUCAGCAACAGAAAAUAAAAUAGUAGAGCAGCACUCUGAUGGAGCUGUGUCACUGUGCUGGUCUGUCCCCAGAGCAAAGCACAAGGAGAGGCUUUGUGCUGGGAAAGCUUCCUUGGAGCUACUGACUAUAUUGGUCUAUAGCUGGAAAGCAACCAAGUGUAUGCUUAAACUUCCAGAAUGAUGCCGGAACAAAGCGACUUACAGAAAGGUUAAGAACUACAGUUCUGACUUUCUGCUUAUCUUCUGCAUCUCUAAAGAUUGUUCUUGAUGCUACCAUCACAGAUGUGAGCUGUGGAAGGAACUACAGUUGACCAUAGAACUGGCCAACUCUGUUUUCCCUAUUUUAUGGCAGAGAAACAGUGUGGAUGCAACCUUAUCAGUUAAAAUGAGAAAAAUUCACUAUAAAAUAUUUUGCAUUAUAUUUCUGGUCCAUGUACAGUGACACAACCCUACUGAGAGAAGGUACAUUGAGUGACCUCAUAUUAUUCUUAUUUCUUACUGUUAAAAGCUAUUUAACUUAAACAUCUGUACAAAUGGUGGGGAAUAAACCCAUCCUUCAAAACCCCCUUAGUUGUUUUUGACCCCAAAUUUAAAGGCAAGAGAAGCUCUCUAUGAAAUGCAUGGUAAUGCACCUAAUUUUUGUAGAGCUCCUCUUAGAAUAACAGAGCAGAAAAUGAAAACUCAUAAUCAAAUUAAACAGUCUUCUGUUGUUGCCUAAUAAAGAAAAUUGCAUUAAUGUAUGGGAAUUCAGCUUUCAGAAAUCUGUGUCAUAUAUAUGUGUAAUUUAUGAGAUUGUUCUAACACCAAGAAAAAAGCAAAAGUUUGAAAAUAGCCUGGACUCCUGCUCAGGUUUGUUACUUGAUUUCCUGUGCACACACAAGCCUAUCACUUCUAAACCUAUUUUACCUCUUACUUAGCAGUGGAUAAAAGCAUAAGAUGUACUAGGAGGGCUGCUCUGAAAGUAAUGCCUCCUAUUUUUUAUUUUUAUGUUGGCCCACAGCAUCAGAGGCAGGUGUUUGUGGUAUGGUAGUAGUGGUUGAACCUUCCCACCAGUAUUCCAUUACAUGUUGUUGCCAUGUGACAGAUGGCAGCAGGGGCAGUCUGACAAAAUGGCAGCUGACAUAGAAGUGAGUAUGAAGCAAAAGUGUGGAACUGAACUCCUCCACUUGGAAGAAAUGGCGCCCAUUGAUAUUCAUCAAUGCUUGCUGAAUGCUUAUGGAGACCAAACAGUAGAUGUGAGCACAGUGAGAGGGUGGGUGUACAUUUCAGGGGUGAUGAUAGCAACAAUGUGCCACCUCCGCUGGCGCAGACUUCUAUUUGCAUGGCAGGCAGGCUCUUGUUCAUCGCUGGCAAAAAUGCAUAGCUAAUGGUAGUGGCUAUGUUGAAAAACAGUUUUGUAGCUGAGAAUUUGCUCUGUCAAAUAGUGUUAUUGUGCUCUUUGUAACAGUUGUCAUUUCCAUGGAAAUAAAUAGGAGGCAUUACUUUCAGCAUGACCUACGUAUCCAACUAUUAGUUUUACAAUGGGUAUCUGUUGCUUGCUCCCAGAGUAGCUCUCAAAAGCAAGUUACUCUUCGGUGUUGUCUAUUGAUUGCUGCUUUUUGCCUUUUAGUCUUGCUAUUUUUGUUGUUGCUGUUGUUGAUUUUCCUUGCUCUUGCAGAAAGCAGUGCCAGGCCAUUAGGAAACUGAAUUAUUAAACCUUCUGAUUGAUUUUCCAUGACAAUAUAGCUGACACUAUCAUGUAGGGACCCUUGCCUUAAGCUACGCAGACAGGGUUUUGAUAAGUGCUUGACAGCUCUCCUCAUUCUUUCGCUUCAUUAUCUUCUCUCUCUUUACUACAUCAUCAUUUCAAAGAGGAGGAGAUUAUGAACUCUGCUAUAUGGAAUCAGUUUGUUUUACUGUCAGCCUCCCUUUGCUAACAGCCACAGAAACAAAGGAAUUUUUCCUUCUUUUCGUUCUGGAGAUGCACAACAGAUCAGCCCAUUUACUGACAGACUCAGCAUUGACACCAUUGUAUCCAUGGCAACAUACCAGCCUGCGCAAGCAUCCAAAGAUAUUAUGAAAAGCAGAAAUAUCAAAUGAUGACGAGUCACUUCAGACAAUAGAUGUUUAUGUGUUUCACAACCACCUGAAAUACUUCUCUCCCCACCUAUCAGGUCCUUGAUUAUAACACGCUUUAGUUUUCUCUUACAGCUUCUUUGUCAGAAUACAAAACUCAAGGCAGAAUUAAUCUCAAUUUUGAGUUUUUUUUUCAUUCUAAUCACUGGCUGAGGUAACUGAGAGGAAUGAGUGCCCCAGAACUCUGACUAUUCUCUUUGAUUUGGGUUGGAGUACAGGUUCUUCAAAUGAAAAAUCCAAACUAAUAAUUGAAAAAGAAGGGGCCUACAUCAGCCCAAUGUAUUUCAGGGCUAACACAUGUAGCUGGGUGACUGCUAGACUGAUUUGUGAUUUGCCCGAUGGAGUUGUAUGAACUACUGCUUUCUUAUGAUGAGAGUAGAUUUAAUAAGAUCUGAACAUUUUUAUAUAACUUCAUCCAACUUCUGGCAUGGCAGAGACUCUGCUAAAGCAUCUGCAGAUGCUUCUCUUCACAGAUCCCAUGGGUUCUUCAGUUCUGCUGAACAUACAGGCACACAGGCUGCAUUUUAGAAGCUGGUUGCAGCAAAUGUAUCAGUUCAUUAAACUGGGCGCUUACACAUGAAAACAUCUGUAAUUUAGAUCAGAUAACUGCACAUGGAGUACUGACUGGUGCUGCUAGAUAACUGUUGGCAAAUAUGGGCAUAAGUUACCAUGAAUUUACAAAUGUAAUGUACAUGCUGCCCGUUAGGACUCCACCCCUCAUUUUUCAUGUACAAAGCAGACCUUUAGAAUCACAUGCUGAUGAUGACACUGAAUGAGGUGUUAUGUGACACACAGCAAGCCUACAAGUAGCCUUAAGGCAUUUAGGACCAUCUUCCUCAGCCCAGGGAAAUAUUUCAGCCACGCUAAGCCAUGACGACUCUGUGCUCAUUGGUCAGACUGCAGGCUGAGGACAUUCUCAAAUCUAGACUACCUCACUGCAUUCAUGGUUUGCAUAGCAUCUGAGUUUGAGGCAGAAUUUGAAGCUUGUUGAGGGAGAGAUCCCAAGUACGUUUGGUAUUUAACCUCAAGCCACAGUUUUGGAGAAGCAGUGCAAUGUGAUUUACAAGCAGAUCAUGAGUAUUCCUGAGGACUGUGAUCAAUGAGCCUGAAGCAUUGCUGGGUUAGCAGCCAGCAGCCCAUUUGGAAGGUGUGUGGGGUGCACGAGGCAACUUCCAAGUUCCUCUUCUUCCUUUAGAUAGACCUUGUUUCAUGGGUUUUGUUCUCUUCUCACGGUUGAUCCAGGUAAGAGGGUGAGGUCUAUCGUGGCCCACUGCAAAUUGCCUUAAUUCUUUAGUGCUUUUAGGAUUGCAGGACAUGGAUUCUUGUGUCUACUCUAGCUUUCUCCUGAAGGUAUGCGCUCUGUUACCUUUUAAAAAAUGGAAGACUCUCAGCAGCAAGCUGGCUAUGUUUGUAGCCAAGGCAAAUAAAUAACUCCUUGUUAUGUCUGCAGAUGCCUCCCCUCUCUUAACAAAUAAUGGCAGUGUUUUAUUUGCAGAAAGAGUAAAAGAAAUAUGAAGCCCAAAACCCUAGAUGAACUUGGUGUUCUGUAUCAUUAUGUUAACUUGAUUAGGCUAAUCUGUUUUCAACUGGUAAUUUAAGCUUUAGGCUUGGAAAAUACAGUAGCAUUUACAUGUUUGAACAUAAGAAUAUGAGCAUUUUAAGAAGUAGAAAGCCUUAUCAAAAUUCUACAUUAAUAAAACAAGCUAUCAGUGCAUCAGAGAGUUCAAGAGUUUCCAUGUGCAAGCAUGCAAGCACAGCUAUAGAUUCCUUCUGUGGUUUUAAUUCUCAGAAGAUACCAUUGGAAAAACUCAGACUUUUGAGCAGAACAGGAAAUUAACUCUCAGAAAUAGUAUACCCCUCAAGUUCUAACUAAUAUGAAAUUUAGUAAUAUAUGUGUCAUAUUUAUUUUGAAAAGCAACUUUUCUACAUAAGCAUGCUACAGAUGCAACAUAUAAAGAGAGAUUUCACUACUUACACCUUCUGUUCAAUUUUGUAGGUAGGCAGUGGAUGCUUAUUGCUUUAGAAGACCUGGUAGUACUGAAUGGGGCAGUAGUUUUAUUCCUUCAGCUUUCAGGAUAGAUAAACAUGACAAUGGUUGAACAAGUGAGAAGGUAGAGACAGCAAAGCAAACAACCUGAGCUCACAGACUUGCAGUCAUUACUUCCUGACAAUCAUUCCCUGUUAUAACUAGAAAAUGUUAAAAGAAACAAAUCUCUUUUUUUUUCUCCCUAGAGAGACUUCUUUUCUCUGAUUGUGGAGAUGGGAAUUGAAUAGAUAAACUGUUCUUCCCUAUACAAGAAAACAGAUUAAAGCAGUGAAAAAUGGCUUAGGCGAAGAACUGUCACCAGCUGCAUUCUGCAGGGAUCAGUAAUCCCCUCACUUCCUUUUGAAUACAUUUACAAAAUGUCCUGUGACAAGUCUGACAUCCAGUUUUUUCCUCUUCAGCAAAGGCAACUAGCCCCAUAACUAAGAUGUCACAAAGCCUCAAAAGCUGAGUGGAAAGGAGCUGGUUUAGGUAAAUGACAGAAGGAAAGGAGGCUCUGUGCAUAACUGCUUACUCAAUAAGAGAUUUCUGGUGUGCAUUCUGCACUUCAGCAUGUUAUCUGGGGACCCUUUGCUUUGAAUCACAGCAGUGAGAAAUAAGGAUCCAAAUACCAGCUGGAACUGAGUCUCUGCUGUAAUUCUUGCCUCCUUGUGUCCCUAACAGGAGGUGGAAGCAGUAUUUUGUACUGUCUGCUUUCAAACCAUGCUACUUCUAAUGCAAAGAUUGGCUUUUGACAUCUAAAGCAUUUAGUAAAUUAGACCUCCUAAAACUAACUAACUCACCAUAAUUCAUCUGGGUACCUACUUCCCUUGGAAAAAAGACCAAAGACAGUGAGGGUCUGCAAAGAGUUGCUCUGGUAAAAGUCCUCCCACUGUGGCUAGAUCUCAUGUCUGCUUAAAGCUUUCACAUGCCAGCUUGCAGCAUAUUUUUACAGACAGGUAACAUCUCCGAGUAAUCUUUAAAAGGUAAACGCUAUCAAAUGGUAGACAGGCAGAAACAGGAGGUUUUUAAAAUGGAAAUUUUACCAUAUGAGUUAACGAUAUAGUUGUGUUUCUUGUCCCAGUCAGAAGCAACUUGAACAUAGUCUCUUAUGCAAAGCCAGGGAUAAAUAUACCAUGUUUUCGGUGGGAGAUUUUGUUUUGCUCAGUGGUUGAUAACACAUUUUAAGGAGCUAUUCAGCUCACGCUUUUUUUUCCUUCACUUGGGCACUAGAGGGACUCUAGAGUUCUCUGUUACUGCAAGAAACAUCUCAGCAAUGUUGAAGCAGUAAUCACGCCUUCAUGGUCACCUUAGCUCAAGUGUUUCUAAGGGGAAAGGUGGCAAAAAUUGCCCAACUGGUUGUGGCACAUGCCCAGAGACUUACAACGUGUCACUGGGGAGAGUGCCUAAAAGCUCCACAGGAUGCUUUCCACUGUUUGUAAUUCUUGUUUUUGCUUGCAGCUCUCCUGAUCAUAAAUAAAUAAGGGCUGGCUUUGACUUGACUGCUCCGUGCACUUAGCUGAUGUUGUGACAUUGGCACUGAGUCGUGGAUUGUACUGUGUUUUUGAGAGAUUAAAUGUUUCCUUCUCUAUUCAGGAGGGAAGCCAAACACCUAAGCGGCCAACAAUUACAGCUCGACAAACUGUCAGAAGAGAGGAAGAUAAUAGAAGAAUAUAUAUUGACAUGGUCCCUUUUAGAGUGGCUCUCACACACAGUUUCAAAUGAAUCAUUUUAAAAAGAACUACAGACAAUGUCCUUCCUUAUCCUUUUAGGAGGCAGGCAAAAGUCCACAAAAAUUUCACAUGCAGACAUCCAUAAUUCAGUGUGUCAGAGCUUUACUAUAAAGCUCAUCACUUGUGAAGUUAUGUAAAAAUCUCCUUUGUAAAAAAAUCUUUCCCCACUGUCUCUUAGUAGGAUGAUGCUUUUUGAUCUCUGCAUGAAUAUUUCUAAUAAAAAUACUUGCAUGUAUCUUAACAUCUCUAACAUAAAUUAUAAGACUUUUUCCUCUCUUAAAAUGUCUAGUGUCAACACUGUUGUUGAAUACUUAAUGUAAAGUAUAAUGUAAUUUGACUAGAUAAUUAUCUGGGGGAAAAUGGCGAAUGCCAUGUUGUUUUUUCUGUGUUUGUUUUUCAUCUUCGGUGACUGUUUAAAGGAGAGCUGCAGCUGAAUGACUAACAUUCUAAGGUUCACCUUCUCUCACUGCAGCCUGCUGCUGAAAAGAUACUGCCACAAUACUGCAUCUGAGUGAGAGGCAUUGAUUUCUGCAUGGCGCAUGGAAUACUCUAGGCCUUUCUCUGGUCAAUAUAUCACCCUGACCUCUAGGGGUGUUUAUAGACAGCACACAGCCUAUUUAUUUGGUAUGGUAUCUUUCCAUCGAGACUUCAGUGAUACACUUGCAGUGCUUUUUUUCCCACAAAAGUAUAAGCUGUCUUUUCCCUUUUUGUGUAUUAUUAACUUAAAAUAAAUCUAAUUCUAUUUGCAUGAA